RNAcentral lists this ribosomal RNA (292 nucleotides) under uncultured archaeon. RNAcentral describes it as "partial 16S ribosomal RNA". It matches the Rfam family "Archaeal small subunit ribosomal RNA", at positions 345 to 637 of the family's 1478-position model. The record is from RNAcentral.
AACCUUUACAAUGCACGCAAGUGCGAUAAGGGGACCCCGAGUGUUGGUGCCUAGCAUCAACUGUCUAACUGCCUAAAAAACAGUUAUUAGCAAGAGCCGGGUAAGACCGGUGCCAGCCGCCGCGGUAACACCGGCAGCCCAAGUGGUAGUCAUGCUUACUGGGUCUAAAGCGUCCGUAGCCGGCCGGGUAAGUUCCUUGGGAAAUUUGAUCGCUUAACGAUCAAGCUACCUGGGAAUACUACUUGGCUUGGGACCGGGAGAAGUCAGAGGUACUUCAAGGGUAGGGGUGAAA